UACGUAGGGGGCUAGCGUUGUCCGGAAUCAUUGGGCGUAAAGAGCGUGUAGGCGGCCCGGUAAGUCCGCUGUAAAAGUCAAAGGCUCAACCUUUGAAUGUCAGUGGAUACUGCCGGGCUAGAGUCCGGAAGAGGCGAGUGGAACUCCUGGUGUAGCGGUGAAAUGCGCAGAUAUCAGGAGGAACACCGGUGGCGAAGGCGGGUCUCUGGGCCGUAACUGACGCUGAGGAGCGAAAGCGUGGGGAGCGAACAGG
This 253-nucleotide ribosomal RNA is filed under the name uncultured bacterium. RNAcentral describes it as "partial 16S ribosomal RNA". It matches the Rfam family "Bacterial small subunit ribosomal RNA", at positions 524 to 776 of the family's 1533-position model. The record is from RNAcentral.